This 429-nucleotide ribosomal RNA is filed under the name uncultured bacterium. RNAcentral describes it as "bacterial SSU rRNA". It matches the Rfam family "Bacterial small subunit ribosomal RNA", at positions 355 to 801 of the family's 1533-position model. The record is from RNAcentral.
UCGGGAAUUUUGGGCAAUGGGCGAAAGCCUGACCCAGCAACGCCGCGUGAAGGAUGAAGUAUUUCGGUAUGUAAACUUCGAAAGAAUAGGAAGAAUAAAUGACGGUACUAUUUAUAAGGUCCGGCUAACUACGUGCCAGCAGCCGCGGUAAUACGUAGGGACCAAGCGUUGUUCGGAUUUACUGGGCGUAAAGGGCGCGUAGGCGGCAAUUCAAGUCAUCUGUGAAAUCUCCGAGCUUAACUCAGAACGGCCAAGUGAUACUGCAGAGCUAGAGUGUAGAAGGGGCAAUCGGAAUUCUUGGUGUAGCGGUGAAAUGCGUAGAUAUCAAGAGGAACACCUGAGGUGAAGACGGGUUGCUGGGCUGACACUGACGCUGAGGCGCGAAAGCCAGGGGAGCAAACGGGAUUAGAUACCCAAGUAGUCCCUGAG